CUACUGUCCCCAGCCCACCCUCGCCCCCUCCCACUUCCCCUGCCUCUUCCUCCUCACCGGGUUUCCCACACUGCCUUUGGCAGGCCCCCACUCAGGGCCCUCGGCCUGGCCCUCCCCCUGUUCCCCCACCUCACCAAACCAAGUUGCCAUCUCUCACCAAUGGGCACCCUCCUCACUUGGUGGCCCAAAAGGCUUGCAGCCUCCACAGGUCCCCUGGGGUCCCCUGCUCCAACUGCCCGGCCAGUCCCCCUUCUCCUUCCCUCCACCCUGUCCAGCUGGCCUCCCUCUCUGCUCUUCACUUUUCCUUUGCCCCACAACCCCCUUCAGGACCUUCACUGGCCUGCAGACACCUGGGCAGACAGCUCACCUGCCUAUCCUCUCCUCCUUCCCAGUCACCUCCUCCCACCAUCUCCCCUCUGUUGGGCCAUCCUGCAAACUUUCCCCUGGGCCAGGAGUCCCUGCCAAUGGGAACCCAGACCUCUCAAUGCUUCAGGAGUCAGGCACCUGCUGGGCACAGGGAACAAGACAUGGUGGGCAGCAGCUACAGGACCCAGGGCAGCCAAGGAUACUCCCGCUUCCCACCUGUGACACAAGCAAGACACAGCCAGACUGGCCCGAAAUGGGGGAACCCACAUUUAAACUCUUCUGUCUGCCAAGCUGGGCCAGACAGCUCCAGAUUGGACCACCGAAAAUCAGCAGCUCGUCCCCUUCUUCCCCUCCGAAAGGUACCAACAUCUCAGACAGGACUGACCAAGGACAGAGCUGUGCAAUGCCCACCCAAGGAAGGAAACCAAUGACCCAGUUCCUUGGGGCCACGGGACAGCAGUCCUUUCCCUAAAGCUCCCCAGCCCUCUACCCGGGGCAAAGUGCUACCUGGGGCAGCGUUUAGGCAGCUCUUCAGAAAGGCCAGGCCCUCCUACUGACCCUGGAAGCUGUUGACUGAGACCUGGAGGAGAUGCAGCUGGAGCCAGGUUCCCAUGAACACACGGUGAAACUCGGAGGCUUUAUUUCUUCCCACCCAGAAGGGCGUCCUUCAAUUUCCCGAGGGAAAUGAACAGAUGCAAGAUCAUGGGGACCUCAUGGAGAGCUUCUGACUGCCCCAGGGCCUCUGAGGGAGGGGGCUGGUGCGAGGGCCUAGAGCCCCUCGGAGCCCUGCCCUCGGCCUGCUGCUUGGGGUCCCCGAGAGAUUCGUAUUUUCCAGAGCUGGUAGAAUUAAGACGACCGGCAAUCUCCACUGACCUUCUCCUCACUCCAGUGUCCCAGCACCAGUCAACCUCCCCUCGUCUGUCCUUCAACUGAGAUGCCAUCAGGAAGCAGCAAAUAUUUCUUACAGCGAUAGAAAAUAUGUUAAACCCAUUUCACAGAAACACAGGCCAAAAUGCAGGGAGGGCUGGCUCAACCAGUUUUGGGUCAUCUGGUUACAGAAAGAUAACUUGAUUGUCCUUCCUAUUUAUCUUAUAAUAAAUAAAA
Eptesicus fuscus (big brown bat) is the source of this 1470-nucleotide long non-coding RNA. RefSeq lists it as uncharacterized. The record is from RefSeq and is a predicted model, not a curated record. NCBI's taxonomy places the organism in Eukaryota, Metazoa, Chordata, Mammalia, Chiroptera, Vespertilionidae. The transcript is spliced from 4 exons.